Molecule: long non-coding RNA, 875 nt
Filed under: Lactuca sativa (garden lettuce)
Lineage: Eukaryota; Viridiplantae; Streptophyta; Magnoliopsida; Asterales; Asteraceae
Description: long non-coding RNA (LSAT_LNC009467)
Source: RNAcentral
CCCAAACCAUCUCGCCACCAAAUCCACUACUAAAAGAAUGCUACAUGCCUAAUUGUAGUUUCAUAUCAUACUAGGUCUCCAACGACCUACCAUUUCCUGAUUCCAAACACGUUGUGUCCCUCCCAUAGAGAAAAACCAUCCAAAGAUACAAACACAAUGUCUUGAUCUAACAUCACAACUAAAUUCGUUCCCUUAUGCUUGAAACCUGCAAUUGAUUCCGUCGGCAUAAAGGUGAUGGGUUUUGAGCAUUCUAGCACUUCCUAAGUGUACAUGCAAACCUAAUAACCUUGGAUCUAUGUUUGUCUAAUAAUCAUGCAAAGUUGUUUUCCAAGGUUAUGAACCUAUCUAGCAUACAUGGGGUACAAUUUUCUUUGUAUAAAAGAUAGAACUACAUACCUUGUUGUUGAAAGUGUUCCUUGAAACCUUGUGAGCCUAGCACCUCAAGUGUGAUGCCUCAAAUGCUUCACACAACACCAAAUGCAAAGAGUAAACUUGAGAGAAUACUCUAACACAUGCAAAAAUCGGCCAAGCCCUCUUAUUUCUUAGUGUAACCGAUUUUGGGGAGAGAUACAUUGCUUAUAUAGUAUGUUGCAUUAGGUAAACCCUAAUGUUCCAUGACUCUUCAUUUCUUGAUCCAUCCACUUUAGAGAAGAGUUAGGGGCAAGUACAACACGAGCUCGUAAGUCAAGUACGGAAUGAGCCUUGUCUACGAAGCAGAGCGACCUCGUCUUCCUUGCUUCUGGCGAAGCUUCUAGCACUGGAUAAUAGGCAUGGCAGGAAUACGACUUUUUAGGUCGACCACUACACUACAUAGAAGCAAUAGCGAAGCCAAGCCGUAUUAAGGCAAGCAGCCCUUAUAGCAAUAGCAAACGGAA